Molecule: antisense RNA, 69 nt
Filed under: Kibdelosporangium aridum
Lineage: Bacteria; Bacillati; Actinomycetota; Actinomycetes; Pseudonocardiales; Pseudonocardiaceae
Description: ASpks TB sRNA
Rfam family: ASpks TB sRNA
Source: Rfam by way of RNAcentral
CUUCAGCGACCCCAGCCACAGCGGCCGGUCCCGGUCCUGGCCGUACGUGGCCAGCAACGCCUGCGCCUC